CCUGAGCAGCACAGCAGGGGUUCUCCCUACUCAGCCAGUUUGAAUCCAUUGUGGUGGGGAAGGGGAAGGGAGCCAGAGCGACAUGACAAGGGGUCUCCCUUCCAAUAUAGGUUUUGUUCGCAGAGUUCCUGGCCCUCUACUGCACAGAAUGGCAUCCUCCUUACACAGAAGCUCCAGAACAUAGCGAUUCCUGUGUAGCACAAAGAGAAGUCCUCCCUAAACAACAACACUUGUCCCUGAAGGGAGGAAAUGUUUAGGAAAAUAGCUGGGGUCCUCCACAGGGAAACCUUACAUGUACAUCAAGGAGUCUUCCUUACUAAUCCCGUUCUCACCUAUAAUUUGGGGGUCCAGAGGAUGACUGAACCUCAAAAUUCUCUCUCUCUGCCUCUCUCUCUCUUCUAUAUAGAUAUAUUUACAUAGGUAAUCCUCCUAGUCAAAAAGCUGACACUUAGCUUGAGGAAUGGGGAAACUGAGGCAGCCCAGUGGGGGUCUCCCUCCCAAGCUAGUUCUUAGCCAUUGUGGUAGGUGUGAGAAGGGAUCUGGAGGGACAAGAGUAGGGGUCUCCUUACCCACAUGGGCCUGAUUUGCAGAGGGAACAGUAGGGUCCUUUGGCUGCACAGCAGGGGGGCCUCCUCCAAAGACAGCUGCAGUGCAGGGGGAACGAAGUGAAGCAGCGCAGCAGGGGUCUCCCUCCCAAGCUACAUCUUAGCCAUUGUGGUAGGUAUGGGAAGGAAUCUGGAGGGACAAGAGCAGGGGUCUCGGUACUAACAUGCCUAAUUUUCAGAGGGUGCGGUGGCGUUCUUCAGCUGCACAGCAGUGGGUUCCCUUCCAAAGACAGCUCCAGGACGUGGUGAGCAUUUUGAUCUUAUCUUGGUGUACGGCGUUAAGUGUGGGUCCCUACCUAAUUUCUGCCAUACUAAUUUUCAGUCUUCCCAGCAGUUUUUGGCAAAUAAUGAAUUCUUAUCCCAAAAGUUGGGAUCUUUUGGUUUGUCAAACACUAGACUGUUAUAGUUGACUAUUCUGGCUUUUGAACCUGACCUGUUGCACUGAUCAAGUAAUCUAUUUCUUAGCCAAUACCAAAUGGUUUUGGUGACUGCUACUUUAUAAUAUAGUUUUAUAUCUGGCAGAGCUAGACCACCUUAAUUUGAUUUUUUUCAUUAGUUCCCUUGCAAUUCUUGACCUUUUGUUCUUCCAUAUAAAUUUGGUUGUUAUUUUUUCUAGAUCAUUAAAAUGUUUUCUUGGGAGUCGGAUUGGUUUAGCACUAAAUAAAUAGAUUAGUUUAGGGAGUAUCAUCAUCUUGAUUAUAUUCGCUCGGCCCAUCCAAGAGCACUUCAUAUUUUCCCAAUUAUUUAAGUCUGACUUUAUUUGUUUGGAAAGUUUUUGUCAUUUUGCUCAUAUAAUUCCUGACUUUCCUUUGGUAGAUGGAUUCCCAAGUAUUUUAUGCUGUUGACAGUUAUUCUGAACCGAAUUUCUCUUUCUAUCUCUUGCUGUUGGAUUUUGUUGGUGAUGUAUAAAAAUGCUGAGGAUUUAUGGGGGUUUAUUUUGUAUCCUGCAACUUUGCUAACUUUAUGAAUUAUUUCUAAUAACUUUUUAGUAGAAUCUCUGGGGUUCUCUACAUAUACCAUCAUGUCAUCUGCAAAGAGUGAUAAUUUGGUUUCCUCGUUGCCCACUGUAAUUUCGUUAAUCUCUAAGCCAUUUUGGUAGAUGUGAAAAGGGACCUCAAAAGACAAAACCAGGGGUCUCCUGACUAACACGGGGCUCAUUUUCAGAGGGUGCAGUGGCAGCCUUCAUCUGCACAGCAGGGGGUCCUCCUCCAAAGACAGCUCCAGGACAUGGGUCCAGAGCAUCACAGGCCAAAAUUUUCCCUAUAUUCAUCUUCAAAAGUCUCCCUCAGAUAAAUUGACUGGAAAACCUGGGAAACAUUCAAGAGAUCAGGUAAUUCUCUGGAGUCAAAGAAGCUAAUUGACAUUUGGCUUGACUAAGGG
RNAcentral lists this long non-coding RNA (1985 nucleotides) under Sarcophilus harrisii (Tasmanian devil). Its description in RNAcentral is "lncRNA (ENSSHAG00000030155.1)". Lineage: Eukaryota; Metazoa; Chordata; Mammalia; Dasyuromorphia; Dasyuridae. The record is from RNAcentral.